Molecule: ribosomal RNA, 253 nt
Filed under: uncultured bacterium
Lineage: Bacteria
Description: partial 16S ribosomal RNA
Rfam family: Bacterial small subunit ribosomal RNA
Source: RNAcentral
UACGGGGGGGGCAAGCGUUGUUCGGAAUUACUGGGCGUAAAGGGUGCGUAGGCGGUGCUCUAAGUCGGAUGUGAAAUCCCCGGGCUCAACCUGGGAACUGCAUCCGAUACUGGCGAGCUAGAGUGCGAUAGAGGGGGGUAGAAUUCCUAGUGUAGCGGUGAAAUGCGUAGAUAUUAGGAGGAAUACCGGUGGCGAAGGCGGCCCCCUGGAUCGACACUGACGCUGAGGUGCGAAAGCGUGGGUAGCAAACAGG